AAAGAAACCAACAGGGAUUGCCCUAGUAACGGCGAGUGAAGCGGCAACAGCUCAAAUUUGAAAUCUGGCCCUCGGGUCCGAGUUGUAAUUUGUAGAGGAUGCUUUUGGUGAGGUGCCUUCCGAGUUCCCUGGAACGGGACGCCAUAGAGGGUGAGAGCCCCGUCUGGUUGGAUACCGAGCCUCUGUAAAGCUCCUUCGACGAGUCGAGUAGUUUGGGAAUGCUGCUCUAAAUGGGAGGUAUAUGUCUUCUAAAGCUAAAUACCGGCCAGAGACCGAUAGCGCACAAGUAGAGUGAUCGAAAGAUGAAAAGCACUUUGAAAAGAGAGUUAAAAAGUACGUGAAAUUGUUGAAAGGGAAGCGCUUAUGACCAGACUUGGGCUUGGUUGAUCAUCCUGGGUUCUCCCUGGUGCACUCUUCCAGUUCAGGCCAGCAUCAGUUCGCUGCGGGGGAUAAAAGCUUUGGGAAUGUGGCUCCCUCGGGAGUGUUAUAGCCCAUUGCAUAAUACCCUGCUCCGGACUGAGGUUCGCGCAUCUGCAAGGAUGCUGGCGUAAUGGUCAUCAGCGACCCGUCUUGAAACACGGACCAAGGAGUCGUCUUCGUAUGCGAGUGUUCGGGUGUUAAACCCCUACGCGUAAUGAAAGUGAACGCAGGUGAGAGCUUCGGCGCAUCAUCGACCGAUCCUGAUGUUCUCGGAUGGAUUUGAGUAAGAGCAUACGGGGCCGGACCCGAAAGAAGGUGAACUAUGCCUGUAUAGGGUGAAGCCAGAGGAAACUCUGGUGGAGGCUCGCAGCGGUUCUGACGUGCAAAUCGAUCGUCAAAUAUGGGCAUGGGGGCGAAAGACUAAUCGAACCUUCUAGUAGCUGGUU
RNAcentral lists this ribosomal RNA (866 nucleotides) under Calonectria crousiana. RNAcentral's name for it is "partial large subunit ribosomal RNA". It matches the Rfam family "Eukaryotic large subunit ribosomal RNA", at positions 58 to 956 of the family's 3401-position model. The record is from RNAcentral. Lineage: Eukaryota; Fungi; Ascomycota; Sordariomycetes; Hypocreales; Nectriaceae.